This 414-nucleotide ribosomal RNA is filed under the name uncultured microorganism. RNAcentral's name for it is "bacterial SSU rRNA". It matches the Rfam family "Archaeal small subunit ribosomal RNA", at positions 459 to 872 of the family's 1478-position model. The record is from RNAcentral.
CAGCAGCCGCGGUAAUACCGGCGGCCCGAGUGGCGGUCACUAUUAUUGGGCUUAAAGCGUCCGUAGCCGGGUUGGGAAAUCCUCCGGGAAAUCUGGCCGCUUAACGGUCAGAAUGCCGGAGGAUACUCCCAGCCUAGGGAGCGGGAGAGGCCGAGGGGAUUCCCGGAGUAGGGGUGAAAUCCUAUAAUCCCGGGAGGACCACCUGUGGCGAAGGCGCUCGGCUGGAACGCGUCCGACGGUGAGGGACGAAGGCCAGGGGAGCAAACCGGAUUAGAUACCCGGGUAGUCCUGGCUGUAAACGAUGCGGACUUUGUGUCGGACAAGCUAUGAGCUUGUCCGGUGCCGGAGGGAAACCGUUAAGUCCGCCGCCUGGGGAGUACGGCCGCAAGGCUGAAACUUAAAGGAAUUGGCGGG